RNAcentral lists this ribosomal RNA (253 nucleotides) under uncultured bacterium. RNAcentral's name for it is "partial 16S ribosomal RNA". It matches the Rfam family "Bacterial small subunit ribosomal RNA", at positions 524 to 776 of the family's 1533-position model. The record is from RNAcentral.
UACGGGGGGGGCAAGCGUUGUUCGGAAUUACUGGGCGUAAAGGGUCUGUAGGUGGCUUGCUAAGUCAGACGUGAAAUCCCUCAGCUUAACUGGGGAACUGCGUCUGAGACUGGCGAGCUUGAGUGCAGGAGAGGAACGCGGAAUUCCAGGUGUAGCGGUGAAAUGCGUAGAUAUCUGGAGGAACACCGGUGGCGAAGGCGGCGUUCUGGACUGCAACUGACAUUGAGAGACGAAAGCCAGGGGAGCAAACGGG